AGGGUUUGAUCAUGGCUCAGGAUGAACGCUAGCGGCAGGCCUAAUACAUGCAAGUCGAGGGGUAACAGAAAGUGCUUGCACUUUGCUGACGACCGGCGGACGGGUGAGUAACGCGUAUAUAAUCUGCCUCAUACUAGAGGAUAGCCCGAAGAAAUUUGGAUUAAGACUCUAUAGUAUCAUUUAAAGACAUCUUUUUAUGAUUAAAGGUUACGGUAUGAGAUGAGUAUGCGUUCUAUUAGUUUGUAGGUGAGGUAACGGCUCACCUAGACUACGAUAGAUAGGGGCCCUGAGAGGGGGACCCCCCACACUGGUACUGAGACACGGACCAGACUCCUACGGGAGGCAGCAGUAAGGAAUAUUGGUCAAUGGACGAAAGUCUGAACCAGCCAUGCCGCGUGCAGGAUGAAUGCCCUAUGGGUUGUAAACUGCUUUUAUACAGGAAGAAAAACUUUCUCGUGAGAAAGCUUGACGGUACUGUAAGAAUAAGGAUCGGCUAACUCCGUGCCAGCAGCCGCGGUAAUACGGAGGAUCCAAGCGUUAUCCGGAAUUAUUGGGUUUAAAGGGUCCGUAGGUGGAUAAUUAAGUCAGAGGUGAAAUCCUGCAGCUUAACUGUAGAAUUGCCUUUGAUACUGGUUAUCUUGAGUUAUUAUGAAGUGA
This 657-nucleotide ribosomal RNA is filed under the name uncultured bacterium. RNAcentral's name for it is "bacterial SSU rRNA". It matches the Rfam family "Bacterial small subunit ribosomal RNA", at positions 8 to 660 of the family's 1533-position model. The record is from RNAcentral.